AUGAACGCUGGCGGCGUGCCUAAUACAUGCCAGUCGAGCGAACGGACGAGAAGCUUGCUUCUCUGAUGUUAGCGGCGGCCGGGUGAGUAACCCGUGGAUAACCUACCUAUAAGACUGGGAUAACUUCGGGAAACCGGAGCUAAUACCGGAUGAUAUUUUGAACCGCAUGGUUCAAAAGUGAAAGACGGUCUUGCUGUCACUUAUAGAUGGAUCCGCGCUGCAUUAGCUAGUUGGUAAGGUAACGGCUUACCAAGGCAACGAUGCAUAGCCGACCUGAGAGGGUGAUCGGCCACACUGGAACUGAGACACGGUCCAGACUCCUACGGGAGGCAGCAGUAGGGAAUCUUCCGCAAUGGGCGAAAGCCUGACGGAGCAACGCCGCGUGAGUGAUGAAGGUCUUCGGAUCGUAAAACUCUGUUAUUAGGGAAGAACAUAUGUGUAAGUAACUGUGCACAUCUUGACGGUACCUAAUCAGAAAGCCACGGCUAACUACGUG
RNAcentral lists this ribosomal RNA (496 nucleotides) under uncultured bacterium. RNAcentral's name for it is "partial 16S ribosomal RNA". It matches the Rfam family "Bacterial small subunit ribosomal RNA", at positions 29 to 507 of the family's 1533-position model. The record is from RNAcentral.